GUGGGGAAUCUUAGACAAUGGGGGAAACCCUGAUCUAGCCAUGCCGCGUGAGCGAUGAAGGCCUUAGGGUUGUAAAGCUCUUUCAGCUGGGAAGAUAAUGACGGUACCAGCAGAAGAAGCCCCGGCUAACUCCGUGCCAGCAGCCGCGGUAAUACGGAGGGGGCUAGCGUUGUUCGGAAUUACUGGGCGUAAAGCGCGCGUAGGCGGACCAGAAAGUUGGAGGUGAAAUCCCAGGGCUCAACCUUGGAACUGCCUUCAAAACUCCUGGUCUGGAGUUCGAGAGAGGUGAUGAGAAUUCCGAGUGUAGAGGUGAAAUUCGUAGAUAUUCGGAGGAACACCAGUGGCGAAGGCGGCUCACUGGCUCGAUACUGACGCUGAGGUGCGAAAGCGUGGGGAGCAAACAGGAUUAGAAACCCGUGUAGUCC
This 425-nucleotide ribosomal RNA is filed under the name uncultured bacterium. RNAcentral's name for it is "partial 16S ribosomal RNA". It matches the Rfam family "Bacterial small subunit ribosomal RNA", at positions 354 to 796 of the family's 1533-position model. The record is from RNAcentral.